This 360-nucleotide transfer-messenger RNA is filed under the name Thermodesulforhabdus norvegica. It matches the Rfam family "transfer-messenger RNA". From Rfam's summary of the family: Bacterial tmRNA, also known as 10Sa RNA or SsrA, is named for its dual tRNA and mRNA-like properties. Its role is to liberate the mRNA from a stalled ribosome. To accomplish this part of the tmRNA is used as a reading frame that ends in a translation stop signal. The record is from RNAcentral. RNAcentral also lists the same sequence under 3 other names. Lineage: Bacteria; Pseudomonadati; Thermodesulfobacteriota; Syntrophobacteria; Syntrophobacterales; Thermodesulforhabdaceae.
GGGGGCGAUCUGGGUUCGACGGGGGCCAAGAAGCUUAAGCUGCAUGCCGAGCGUCCUGACGGCUCGUAAAACCAGUCAGGGUUAAACAUAACCGCAGACGAUUACGCUUACGCUGCAGCCGCCUAAAACCGGCUGCCGCCUUGCCGGCGAUUUCCCGCUGAGCCGGUAAAGGCGUCGGGAUUGCGGGAUAGCUUUUCGGGAACGCCUGCUUCCCGAAGGGCGAAUAAUUUUGCAGGCUAGCCCAGAGGGAAUCCCGCUCGGGUGGAGUCCUGAGGGCGAAAGUUAAAAACCCGAGCUAAGCAUGUAGAGGCUUAAGUGGAAGGCUCUCGGACGCGGGUUCGAUUCCCGCCGCCUCCACCA